CAGAGAACUCCAAAAAUUUUUCUAAGGCUCUGAAAGAUACAACAAGUUUAUAAAUCAAGCUCUGGGCUGGUGCUUUUUGCCUAUGAAUUACGCUGCUACAGACAGCAGGCAGCAGAACCUCAGCUUCAAACAAGCGGCAGUGAUUUGCGCUCUAACACCCUUGGCCAGAUGCAUCUUGAAAGUUCUUUUUCUGUGACGGAAGUCGGUGAACCUCUCUUGUUUCUCGAGCCCGGUGAGCUGAGGUGAUAACUACUGCAGCAGCAAGUAUGAGCCUACCUGAGCAGGGCAGGGGCAGGGGCAGGGGCAGGGGCAGGGGCAGGGGCAGGGGCAGGCGCCCCCGUCACUGGAGGGAGAAGAGGCAGGUUGUUUGGGGGUGAGGCCAGCCUCAGAG
This 391-nucleotide long non-coding RNA is filed under the name Chinchilla lanigera (long-tailed chinchilla). RNAcentral describes it as "lncRNA (ENSCLAG00000026311.1)". Lineage: Eukaryota; Metazoa; Chordata; Mammalia; Rodentia; Chinchillidae. The record is from RNAcentral.